UUCCAGACUCCUACGGGAGGCAGCAGUGGGGAAUAUUGCACAAUGGGGGAAACCCUGAUGCAGCGACGCCGCGUGAGUGAAGAAGUAUUUCGGUAUGUAAAGCUCUAUCAGCAGGGAAGAAGAUGACAGUACCUGAGUAAGAAGCCCCGGCUAACUACGUGCCAGCAGCCGCGGUAAUACGUAGGGGGCGAGCGUUAUCCGGAUUCACUGGGUGUAAAGGGAGCGUAGACGGCCAUGCAAGCCAGGGGUGAAAGCCCGGGGCCCAACCCCGGGACUGCCCUUGGAACUGCAUGGCUGGAGUGCAGGAGGGGCAGGCGGAAUUCCUGGUGUAGCGGUGAAAUGCAUAGAUAUCACGCAGAACUCCGAUUGCGAAGGCAGCAUACCGGCGCCCAACUGACGCUGAAGCACGAAAGCGUGGGUAUCGAACAGGAUUAGAUACCCCGGUA
Molecule: ribosomal RNA, 446 nt
Filed under: uncultured bacterium
Lineage: Bacteria
Description: partial 16S ribosomal RNA
Rfam family: Bacterial small subunit ribosomal RNA
Source: RNAcentral